Molecule: ribosomal RNA, 31 nt
Filed under: Magnusiomyces capitatus
Lineage: Eukaryota; Fungi; Ascomycota; Dipodascomycetes; Dipodascales; Dipodascaceae
Also listed under: 1 other name
Description: partial 18S ribosomal RNA
Source: RNAcentral
UCCGUAGGUGAACCUGCGGAAGGAUCAUUCA